CAGCGCCAACAGAAAGGUCACUUAUUGAAACCCAAGUCCCUGCAGUUUGCCAGACCAGAGUCGGCUCCAGAUUCCAACCUGUGGCUUUUAAAGGCGCAGGACCAGCUCUGAUGUGAGGCGUUGCCUUAACUGAAGCCCCCUGCACCAGUCCUUUCUGUCAUAUCUCAUGGGACCCAUUUGGUCUCCCAGCCCACCUCAAAUCUGUUCUGAUCAGUGAGCGGGUGGGGAGGAGAAGGUGCAGCUGGAUUCAGUGAAAGUUCCAUCCUGCAGAAACCUGGGCACUAAUUGAGGAGCUGUUCCCGCUGCUGCCGGUGGGCCCCUCCCCCAGGCUUGACGUCUUGGGGGUGUUCUGGUCAGUUCUGCUGGCGUGUGAUGUGGUGGAUGACAGUGUGCUCAGGCCACCUGGUUUUGCGCUGAGCCUCCUGCUGUCUGGCUUUGUGUGGGAACAUGGACCAGUCCAUGGCCUAAAGGCUUCUUACCUCGAAGAUGGGCAGAACAAUAUCCACUUCCGGAACAUCACACCUGGUGUUGUGGAGCACAUUCUCUAUCUCCAAGCCUUAACUACAAAUAGAUACUGACAGCUUCUCACCAGGCUGGGCAGGGACAAGUGAGGUCCCUGAGGUG
This 624-nucleotide long non-coding RNA is filed under the name Homo sapiens (human). RNAcentral's name for it is "HSALNT0224832". The record is from RNAcentral. Lineage: Eukaryota; Metazoa; Chordata; Mammalia; Primates; Hominidae.